This 1005-nucleotide ribosomal RNA is filed under the name Triticum aestivum (bread wheat). RNAcentral describes it as "partial small subunit ribosomal RNA". Lineage: Eukaryota; Viridiplantae; Streptophyta; Magnoliopsida; Poales; Poaceae. The record is from RNAcentral.
CACCUGCUCAAGAUCGACGGCUACUCGCGCACCAAGGAGGUCCCGAAUGGCAAGUGGAUCAACUCUUGCCCGUUCCAGGUGGGAGGCCGCACAUGGCAUGUGGAGUACUAUCCCAACGGGGACAAGUCCGAGUACACCGAUUACAUAUCCCUCUUUCUCAGCUUGGACGACACUGUCGCCGAGGCCGUGAAGGCACAUGCCAAGUUCAGCUUAAUCGACCAAGAUGGGAAGCCCGUGUCGCUCCAUACCGCUACUACCGAGACCAGAGACUUUUCUGUGCUUAAAUCUUGGGGGUUCGACUUCAUGAAAAGGCAAGAAUUGGAGAAAUCAGAGCAUCUCAAGAGCGAUUCCUUCACUGUCAAGGUGGACGUCACUAUCAUGUCCGAGUUCCACGCACGGAAGACACCAUCCGUCGCGGUGCCACCGUCUGACAUGCACCGGCACUUCGGGGAUCUCUUGUCGAGCAAGGAGGGCGUCGAUGUCGAAUUCCAAGUCGGCGGGGAGACAUUCUCGGCCCACCGAUUGGUGCUUGCGGCACGGUCUCCGGUCUUCAGGGCAGAGUUGUUUGGGCCGAUGAAGGAGAGCGCCACCACAAAUGUCAUAUGUAUAGAUGACAUUGAGGUAGAGGUGUUCAAGGCUCUGCUUGCAUUCAUCUACACGGAUGCAUUGCCUACUAUGGAUCAACAGGAGGAAUCUGCCAUGGCUCAGCAUCUGCUUGUUGCGGCAGACAGGUAUGAUUUGGAGAGGCUGAAGCUGAUUUGUGAAGAUAAGUUGUGCAAUCAUAUCGAUACAAACUCUGUGGCGACUAUCUUGGCAUUGGCGGAGCAACACCACUGCCCUGAGCUUAAGGCGGCAUGCUUGGUGUUCCUCAGCUCGCCCACGAAUCUGGAAGCGGCCAUGGAGUCUGAAGGUUUUGAGUAUUUAACCAAGAACUGCCCCGGUGUAAUGAAGGAUCUCCUCAUGUGCCAGGUCGCUCCUACUUCACUCGGGAAAAGAAAAUCUAGG